GGGGGGGGGGGCAAGCGUUGCUCGGAAUUACUGGGCGUAAAGGGCGCGUAGGCGGCCCGGGAAAGUCUCACGUGAAAUCCCACAGCUCAACUGUGGAAUUGCGUGGGAAACUGCCAGGCUUGAGUCCGGGAGAGGAGAGUGGAAUUCCCAGUGUAGCGGUGAAAUGCGUAGAUAUUGGGAGGAACACCGGUGGCGAAGGCGGCUCUCUGGACCGGCACUGACGCUGAGGCGCGAAAGCUAGGGGAGCAAACGGGAUUAGAUACCCCGGUAGUCCUAGCCCUAAACGUUGAGCACUUGGUGUGGCGGGUAUCGACCCCUGCCGUGCCGAAGCUAACGCAUUAAGUGCUCCGCCUGGGGAGUACGGUCGCAAAGGCUG
RNAcentral lists this ribosomal RNA (376 nucleotides) under uncultured organism. Its description in RNAcentral is "partial 16S ribosomal RNA". It matches the Rfam family "Bacterial small subunit ribosomal RNA", at positions 524 to 896 of the family's 1533-position model. The record is from RNAcentral.